RNAcentral lists this ribosomal RNA (347 nucleotides) under uncultured microorganism. RNAcentral's name for it is "bacterial SSU rRNA". It matches the Rfam family "Bacterial small subunit ribosomal RNA", at positions 9 to 337 of the family's 1533-position model. The record is from RNAcentral.
GAGUUUGAUCGUGGCUCAGGAUGAACGCUGGCGGCGUGCCUAACACAUGCAGGUCGAACGGAGUUUAUGAGGAAGAAGCUUCGGCGGAAUUCUUAUAAACUUAGUGGCGGACGGGUGAGUAACACGUGGAGAACCUGCCUCUUACCGGGGGACAGCAGUUGGAAACGAACUGAUAAUACCGCAUAAGCGCACGAGACCGCAUGGUCCUGUGUGAAAGAUUUAUCGGUAAGAGAUGGCUCCGCGUCUGAUUAGCCAGUUGGCGGGGUAACGGGCCCACCAAAGCGACGAUCAGUAGCCGGCCUGAGAGGGUGAACGGCCACAUUGGGACGUGAGACACGGCCCAGACU